UCUGGUUGAUUCUGCCAGUAGUCAUAUGCUUGUCUCAAGAUAAGUCCAUGCAUGUCAAGUAUAAGCACUUUAUACUGUGAAACUGCGAAUGGCUCAUAAAUCAGUUAUCGUUUAUUUGAUAGUAACCUACUACAUGGAUACCUGGGUAUUCUAGAGCUAAUACAUGCUAAAAACCUCGACUUCGGAAGGGGUGUAUUUAUUAGAUAAAAAACCAAUGCCUUCGGGGCUCCUUGGUGAUUCAUAAUAACUUAACGAAUCGCAUGGCCUUGCGCCGGCGAUGGUUCAUUCAAUUUCUGCCCUACAACUUUCGAUGGUAGGAUAGUGGCCUACCAUGGUGGCAACGGGUUAACGGGGAAUUAGGGUUCGAUUCCGGAGAGGGAGCCUGAGAAACGGCUACCACAUCCAAGGAGGCAGCAGGCGCGCAAAUUACCCAAUCCCGACACCGGGGAGGUAGUGACAUAAAUACUGAUACGGGGCUCUUUUGGGUCUCGUAAUUGGAAUGAGUACAAUCUAAAUCCCUUAACGAGGAAACAAUUGGAGGGCAAGUCUGGUGCCAGCAGCCGCGGUAAUUCCAGCUCCAUAGCGUAUAUUAAAGUUGUUGCAGUUAAAAAAGCUCGUAGUUGAACCUUGGGUCUGGCUGGCCGGUCCGCCUCACCGCGAGUACUGGUCCGGCUGGACCUUUCCUUCUGGGAACCUCAUGGCCUUCACUGGCUGUGGGGGAACCAGGACUUUUACUGUGAAAAAAUUAGAGUGUUCAAAGCAGGCCUUGCUCGAAUACAUUAGCAUGGAUAAUAGAAUAGGACGUCGGUUCUUUUUGUUGGUUUCGGACGCCGUCAUGAUUAAUAGGAUAUGUCGGGGGCGUCAGUAUUCAGCCUGUCAGAGUGAAAAUUCUUGGAUUUGCUGAAGACUAACUACUGCGAAAGCAUUCGCAAGUAUGUUUUCAUUAAUCAGGGAACGAAAGUUAGGUGAUCGAAGACCGAUCAGAUACCGUCGUAGUCUAAAACAUAAACUAUGGCGACUAGGGAUCGGCGGUGUUUCUAUUAUGACCCGCAUCGGCAUCCUUACGAGAACUCAAAGUUUUUGGGUUCUGGGGUGAGUAUGGUCGCAAGGCUGAAACUUAAGAAAAUGACGGGAAUGGCACCACAAGGGCGUGGAGCCUGCGCCUUAAUUUGACUCCAACACGGGAAAACUCACCAUGUCCAGACAAAUACGGAUUGACAGAUUGAGAGCUCUUUCUUGAUCUUUUGGAUGGUGUGCAUGGCCGUUCUUAGUUGGUGGAGUGAUUGUCUGCUUAAUUGCGAUAACGAACGAGACCUCGGCCCUUAAAUAGCCCGGUCCGCGUUUGCGGGCCGCUGGCUUCUAGGGGGACUAUCGGCUCAAGCCGAUGGAAGUGCGCGGCAAUAACAGGUCUGUGAUGCCCUUAGAUGUCUGGGCCGCACGCGCGCUACACUGACAGGGCCAGCGAGUACAUCACCUUGGCCGAGAGGUCCGGGUAAUCUUGUUAAACCCUGUCGUGCUGGGGAUAGGACAUUCAAUUAUUGCUCUUCAACGAGGAAUGCCUAGUAGGCACGAGUCAUCAGCUCGUGCCGAUUACGUCCCUGCCCUUUGUACACACCGCCCGUCGCUACUACCGAUUGAAUGGCUCGGUGAGGCCUUCGGACUGGCCCAGGAGGGUUGGCAACGACCCCCAGGGCCGAAAGUUGGUCAAACCCGGUCAUUUAGAGGAAGUAAAAGUCGUAACAAGGUUUCCGUAGGUGAACCUGCGGAAG
This 1769-nucleotide ribosomal RNA is filed under the name Aspergillus oryzae. RNAcentral's name for it is "SSU rRNA". It matches the Rfam family "Eukaryotic small subunit ribosomal RNA". The record is from RNAcentral. Lineage: Eukaryota; Fungi; Ascomycota; Eurotiomycetes; Eurotiales; Aspergillaceae.